UGGGGAAUAUUGCACAAUGGGGGAAACCCUGAUGCAGCCAUGCCGCGUGUGUGAAGAAGGCCUUCGGGUUGUAAAGCACUUUCAGCGAGGAGGAAAGGUUGAUGCCUAAUACGUAUCAACUGUGACGUUACUCGCAGAAGAAGCACCGGCUAACUCCGUGCCAGCAGCCGCGGUAAUACGGAGGGAGCAAGCGUUAAUCGGAAUUACUGGGCGUAAAGCGCACGCAGGCGGUUGGAUAAGUUAGAUGUGAAAGCCCCGGGCUCAACCUGGGAAUUGCAUUUAAAACUGUCCAGCUAGAGUCUUGUAGAGGGGGGUAGAAUUCCAGGUGUAGCGGUGAAAUGCGUAGAGAUCUGGAGGAAUACCGGUGGCGAAGGCGGCCCCCUGGACAAAGACUGACGCUCAGGUGCGAAAGCGUGGGGAGCAAACA
This 427-nucleotide ribosomal RNA is filed under the name uncultured bacterium. RNAcentral describes it as "partial 16S ribosomal RNA". It matches the Rfam family "Bacterial small subunit ribosomal RNA", at positions 355 to 774 of the family's 1533-position model. The record is from RNAcentral.